Molecule: unclassified non-coding RNA, 329 nt
Filed under: soil metagenome
Description: partial contains 5.8S ribosomal RNA, internal transcribed spacer 2, and large subunit ribosomal RNA
Rfam family: 5.8S ribosomal RNA (bases 1-120)
Source: RNAcentral
GAUGAAGAACGUAGUGAAAUGCGAUAAGUAAUGUGAAUUGCAGAAUUCAGUGAAUCAUCGAAUCUUUGAACGCACAUUGCGCCCCCUGGUAUUCCGGGGGGCAUGCCUGUUCGAGCGUCAUUUCACCACUCAAGCCUCGCUUGGUAUUGGGCAACGCGGUCCGCCGCGUGCCUCAAAUCGACCGGCUGGGUCUUCUGUCCCCUAAGCGUUGUGGAAACUUUCGCUAAAGGGUGUUCGGGAGGCUACGCCGUAAAACAACCCCAUUUCUAAGGUUGACCUCGGAUCAGGUAGGGAUACCCGCUGAACUUAAGCAUAUCAAUAAGCGGAGA